This 307-nucleotide non-coding RNA is filed under the name Pongo abelii (Sumatran orangutan). The record is from RNAcentral. Lineage: Eukaryota; Metazoa; Chordata; Mammalia; Primates; Hominidae.
CGACUCCAUUGAAAAGAACCAUAAUACAUGGAAAAAUUACUAGAAAGUCUAGGAAAACUGACUGAAUGCUUUGGAAAGACACAGUCAAGAUUAACAUGCUGAGACUCGGGAGGUGGUGAUUUGCCCAGGGACACAGAAAAAUAAAAAAAAAAGUGUCACAAGAAAGUUUACAGAACCUACUCAAACUCAAAGAGAAAUCAGAGACUAAAUUCUCAAAACUGGAAGCCGCCUACAGCAUCCACACUCUUCAGCCCUGUACUAUGUGAUGUGUAUUGCAAAUGGAGCCACCGGCAGUAUUUGUAUGAAC